RNAcentral lists this small nucleolar RNA (132 nucleotides) under Castor canadensis (American beaver). Its description in RNAcentral is "Small nucleolar RNA SNORA61 (ENSCCNG00000000240.1)". It matches the Rfam family "Small nucleolar RNA SNORA61". From Rfam's summary of the family: ACA61 is a member of the H/ACA class of snoRNA that guide the sites of modification of uridines to pseudouridines. Lineage: Eukaryota; Metazoa; Chordata; Mammalia; Rodentia; Castoridae. The record is from Rfam by way of RNAcentral.
ACCCUUUGAUACCCUUUCCUGUCAUAUCUGAACACUGGUGUUGGUAGGUGUGAAAGGAGGAAAAGUAAUAUUUAAGUUGGCUUCACAGUGUUGCAGCCUGGCAUAUAGUAUAUGGGUUAAUUUCAAACAGGU